Molecule: microRNA precursor, 59 nt
Filed under: Monodelphis domestica (gray short-tailed opossum)
Lineage: Eukaryota; Metazoa; Chordata; Mammalia; Didelphimorphia; Didelphidae
Description: microRNA mdo-mir-12336 precursor
Source: miRBase by way of RNAcentral
AAAGUUACUUUGUCAUCUCUCUGUGAAGAUGGUUUGGAGUGAUGACAAAGUAACUUUCU